RNAcentral lists this ribosomal RNA (260 nucleotides) under uncultured soil bacterium. Its description in RNAcentral is "partial 16S ribosomal RNA". It matches the Rfam family "Bacterial small subunit ribosomal RNA", at positions 26 to 287 of the family's 1533-position model. The record is from RNAcentral.
AGGACAAACGCUGGCGGCGUGCAUAAAACAUGCAAGUCGGACGAGCCAAUCCCCGCAAGGGGAAAGGCUAGUGGCGAACGGCUGAGUAACACGUAGGUGAUCUGCCCUGAAGUGGGGGAUAACGACUCGAAAGAGUCGCUAAUACCGCAUGUGACCAUCGAUUCGUUUUCGAUGCUCAAAGUCGUAAGACGCUUUAGGAGGAGCCUGCGGCGGAUUAGCUAGUUGGUGAGGUAAUGGCCACCAAGGCUUCGAUCCGUAGC